GGAGCUGCAGGCCGGUAUCAGAGCCCGUAUCAGAGCAGAGUGGCCCCUGAGCGGGGAGGCAGCUGGAGCUCACUGUUGGAGGAGGGCCCGGCACCUGCACCUGAGGACAUGAGUCUGAGGCCUGCGGAGAAGCCAGACCUUCACCUGGGGCUCUAACACCGAAAGUCUGUGCCAGACAGAGGCAUCCACAGCGACAGGAGCCUGGGCCAGGGCGGCCAUCCCUGCUGCAGAGACAAAUGUCAGUG
Molecule: long non-coding RNA, 245 nt
Filed under: Homo sapiens (human)
Lineage: Eukaryota; Metazoa; Chordata; Mammalia; Primates; Hominidae
Description: non-protein coding lnc-FAM20C-5:2
Source: RNAcentral